GCCCAGCUAGCUCAGUCGGUAGAGCAUGAGACUCUUAAUCUCAGGGUCGUGGUUUCGUGCCCCACGUUGGGCA
Erinaceus europaeus (western European hedgehog) is the source of this 73-nucleotide non-coding RNA. The record is from Rfam. Lineage: Eukaryota; Metazoa; Chordata; Mammalia; Eulipotyphla; Erinaceidae.